Molecule: long non-coding RNA, 1538 nt
Organism: Cyprinus carpio carpio
Lineage: Eukaryota; Metazoa; Chordata; Actinopteri; Cypriniformes; Cyprinidae
Source: Ensembl
GCUGCAUAAACUAUUUUUAGGGUAGUGGCUCACAGAAUGCAAAGGGUUAAGUGUCUGGCGCACAGCGAGGAAAGCAUGAAUGUGUGUGCAUGUGUUUAAAUGUGGAGGACAGAGAGUGAGUGAUGAGAGAGAAAAAGAGGGGAAGGGGGUAAGUAUAAAAAUAUAAAUUCUGUCUGGAGUGUGAAAAUGUUUGAAGAUGGGAGGGAAUACAGACAAAACAGGCACCCAAAAGAAGGUGAGAGGAAAAAAAGAGUGCGCAAGAGAGUAGGGUGGGGAUGAAGGGGGAGGGAAGGAAAUGAAGAGAGAGGGAGAGAGAGAGAAAGAGAGAGAGAGAGAGGGGGAGGAGAAGGAAGCGGAGCGCAUUCACAAUUUUCAUUCAAACUGACACAGCCUGUGUGUCCCGGUUUGCACUCCCCACUAGCUCUCUCUUUCUCUCUACACACACACACACACACACAUACAGAGAAUGAGAAACACCAGACCGUCUGCAGUUAAGUUAAUAGCGGCUAGAGGAUGGCUUCAAGAAGAGUGAGAGACCGGGACGAGAAAACCUGAGGAGACUGGCGGAAGGGGUGAGAAUAGAAAGAGGAGGUAUGGAAUUCACAAAGAGAUGUCAGGGUGGAAGGUGAGUAGGGAGAGGACGAAGAGUUUUAAAAUAGAAGAGAAAAAGGGAGGUGGAGGAAUGCAUGGGGUUGGACGGCCGAGCUCGACGUAUGGAGGGGGCAGAGAUCGACUGGAGCCAGACUGGGUGUAUGCAUCUGAGAGAGUCACUGUGGUGGUGAUAUUCAGUGCCAGUGGAGGUUGCCCUGGAUACAUGCUAAAAGGGACAGACAAAAUAAUCUCUAUUAUCGCACUAUGGGACACUUAAUGUUUCAUGUCCCUCAGUCUAAUAAUGUGACCUGAAGUGUGGAGAGCUCUGUCUGGUCGACAGUGGCACAGUACACCUUAGAUGGCAGUGAUGGUGUAACCAUGACAGAUCAGAAAAUACUGGAGAGGAGAAUGAAGUCCUUCAGAAGGUUUUGUGUGGGAGUGUGAUUGAGAGAAAUGAUUUUUCAUAGCCAGAAAGCCUCUGUGUGGACUGUGCCAAGAAUGACCAUCAGGGAUUGUCUACCUUUGUACUUUCUCCUUUCUCGUUUUAACACCAAUCAAAUAAAUGUUUGUAAAUGAGAGCUUAGUGUGGCUCAGAAAUACACAGCAUAAAAACACCCCCUUCUUUUGUUUCAAAUCAAAGCAUUGCUGCUGGUGACAGGAUCAUCGCUCCUGCCAAAGAUUUGAAGUUCAGUUUUUUGUGACCAUGAGUAGGCUGUUUUUUGGAGUUCUCUAUUGUAGUCUAGUGGACUGAACUGUGCUGUAAUACAAUGCUGCAAUACAAGCAGAGCUAUUGAUUGCCAUUCACACUGCACUGUUAAUUAUGACAGUUCAUCUAUUAUGUUGGACGAGAUAAAUAAUUGAAUACAGUUUCAAAACUAUAUCAUGCAUAAAUUAUUAUAUGUAAAUGCAUUUUUCUUUUUUAUAUGCCAUUAUUAAUGGUAAAAAAA